UCCGUAGGUGAACCUGCGGAAGGAUCAUUAGAGAUCGCCGAAAGGCAUCACACGCACAGUGCACCCACACAAUUUACAAAAAGUCCCGAACGUGAUGACAUUAACAAUGACAACUUUCAACAACGGAUCUCUUGGCUCUCGCAUCGAUGAAGAACGCAGCGAAACGCGAUAUGUAAUGUGAAUUGCAGAAUUCAGUGAAUCAUCGAAUCUUUGAACGCACCUUGCGCCUUCUGGUAUUCCGGAAGGCAUGCCUGUUUGAGUGUCAUGUGGAAUCGACCCGCCGGGUUUCCGGCGUGGAUCGGACUUGGGCGCUGCCUUCCCCGGCUCGCCUCAAACGUGUUAGCGGGUUCAAGACGUCAUAAGUCUCGUCCAGGGCCCGCUCACAGAACCCACUCUUUUGACUCUGACCUCAAAUCAGGUAGGACUACCCGCUGAACUUAAGCAUAUCAAUAAGCGGAGGA
Molecule: ribosomal RNA, 461 nt
Filed under: Tremella brasiliensis
Lineage: Eukaryota; Fungi; Basidiomycota; Tremellomycetes; Tremellales; Tremellaceae
Description: eukaryotic LSU rRNA
Rfam family: 5.8S ribosomal RNA (bases 112-265)
Source: RNAcentral